GAUGAAGACUAAACUGUAGAUUUGUACCUAAAAUAAAAGAAACUAAAGUAAGAAGUGAUUUUAAACUAUUAGAAAAAGUUAUACACCUAUAUAGUAUAAAUGCAAUUUCUCAUGGAAUUAUCCUCCUGGAACAGAGCACACUCUGAAAAACCCUGUCCCAGCCAACGGAAAAGAACAGAAAUCAACAACGCAGCAUAGUUAAAAGGAGGCUUUUUCUCUUUAAAUUGGAAGGAGUUGAGCAUAAUUUCACAGCCUCAGAGGGAGCUGCUAAGAGAGCCACAAACACAGAGCUCAGUGCCUGCGCCUACUUGCCUCAUUCCAUGCUACUCUCCUAGGGAAGCCGAGAUCCUUUGGUUGCCCUGUUCUCCCUGAAGAAUGGCUGUGAAAGAUGAGUGUCAAAUUACAGUCAUUUAAGUUUAACCAUUUUCUGUUAGCAGAGAAUAAUUCACAUUCAUCUAUGGAGUGGAGUGAGGUUAACGAUUCAGUUACAUUUUGAUUAUGAAGGAAUCUCACUCAGCUGAAAUCUGCGAUAAAACCGAGUCCAUAUGUAUUGUUUCUGCAGUGUUGUGAGUGCUCCUGGUUCCUAAGGAAUGCAUUGUUUAAGCCAGCCCUUUGCUCACCAUGUAAAUGAUUCCACUUCAGUGGUUCAAGGAAAAUGAGCACAGGAUGCAAAUUCCUUAAUGCAGAUUUAGUAAAGUAGAAUCUCCCCUCUGUGGUCUUGACUGUGACGAGUUUCCUUUGUACGUGUCGGAAUUAUUUGUCAAGACCUUUUGUUGAUCACGAAAUGCCCUUGCCUGUCCAAAAAGCCUAACAAAAAAGACUCAAAUCCAUAGUGAGCAGUUCUCUUUCUGACAGUAUUGGUUUUUAUUAGAUACAUGGCUGCAAUCUUCAGCUGCAAUUAAAAAAAAAAAAAAAAAGACAACUUUGGACGUGUGGCAAAGUUUGGAAAGUGUGAGGGGCCAGAGAAAAUCAUUGGAACAUGUCACUUGCUUCACAACUUUCGGUUCUCACCUUCAGUUUACAGGGCUCCAUGUCCUCAGAGGGAAGUAUUCUAUGUGGACUCAUUUCAAAGAGUUUUCUCUGAAAAUGAAUAUGCCAGCUCCCCAUGGGGUCAUGAAGAGAGACUGAAUAGGCCGUGCCUUCACCUGCGUAGUUGCUGAAAACAACAACAAAACCUUUCUGAUGUAAACAGCAGCAAUUAGUACAAUAACUGCCCCGAAGAUGCCACCAUUCUCUAAAUCGGAUAUUCUGAAAGCUCAAGAACAAUUUUGUAACAUAAAUAACCUGUUCAUCCAGAGAGCAACUACAGAUACAUUUUUUCCAAGGAAAAAAUCUGUGAGUGAGGGAGACAGAACGUGCCCAGAGUAUAUUCCUCUGCUUUUUCCUCCUGGAAAAUAGAGAAGCCCUUUGGUGGAACUACAAACACAAACCCAGAGAAAAACAGUAACUAUUAUGCUAUUAUUCCCUUGGGGCAACAUAUCCAGAUAUUAGUUGAGAUUUCUGAAUCUUUAUUCAAAUUAAUUCUCAGUGUUGGACUUUCUAGUGUUGUGAGAAAUUAAUGGGGAAGAUGAUUUGUGGGAAGGAACAGAGGAUAAAACUUAAAAGAGUCAAGGUUUUGCCAUCAGAGCGAUUUGAGGCUGUAAUCCCACAAAGACAAAUGACAAUCUUGAGCUAAUUCUUUCUAUUCUAUGAGAAUUAUGUUCCUUGUCUAUGAAAUGAGGAUUGACAAAAUUUUCUCCAAGGUCUAUUUAAAUUUGAAUAUGGCGUCUAAGGACUCUUUCUUUAGAAAAGCGUAAAAGAGCACUGUAAUCACACAUAAUGACAUUUCCUUUUCUACUUUUGGUGUGAGAUUGAGGCAGCAUUUUGGUUAAGAGAUCAGAUCCGAGUCAGGAAUAUCUGUUUUUGAAUAUUGAUACUUCCACCUACCAGCCACAUGAUCCUGGGAAAGCUGGCUAACAGAUCUUAGUCUCAGUUUCCCCACUUGAAAAAUGGAGAGAAAAAUAAUUUAUCAUAGGAGUGGGGGGGUUGUGAGGAUUCAAUGUGUUAAUACAGGUGAUGACCUGAAAAGUACCACGAACAUGUAAAUGUUCAUACAGAACAUUCCGUAAAUUUUUUAAAAAUUACAUUUUACUCUUAGAAGUGCAUUUACUUUUAAGGAGACAACAGAUAUCGGCCUAGCCAUUUUUACCUUCAGUUCCCUGCAUAGAUCCACAAGAAUUUAUUUUAUUCCAUGAACUUUUUUCUCACUGAGAUUGCUUGAGAUCUUUGGUUUUGUCACCUUCACAUUGAAAUAACAACGGAGGAUACUAUUGAUUUCACUCAUUUUGGUGAAGCCCGAGAGAUCUUUGCUUUUAUCAGGCAUCCAUUUUAAAAAUAACUAUUAUUCAGCAUGCUUUUUAAUCUUUUCAGUUUUCCAAGAUUCUUCAUAUGUUGCCUGUCUUUUUUUUUAAUUGAGAAGACGCACCAAGGAAAGUAGUACAAAAGUGUUGGUGAUAAGGUGAGGGAAAAGAAUGACAAAUAAGUGAGGAAGAUGUCUGUCUAGUGUAUCUCUGAGUAAGAAGGAGAAAAUUGGAAGAACUAUAGACAGAAAGAAGGAAACAGAUUGAGAAACUAAUUUAAGCAGAAUCAACUAAAGGGAAGUAAAAGAUUUGAAAAAAUAAGAGUGGGCACCAAAUAGAGAAAAUCUGGUGUAAAGAAAGAUAAGAAAAAAUUUAUAGCAAUUCAUAUAUGUGACAAAUUCAAACCACACUUGGAUAAAAAUGCCAAAAGAAACACCAAAGAUGGAUCUAAUGAAAGGUUUUCAUCGUCUACAUAAAAUGGAGAUUCUUUCCCCUAACUUUUAUUUAUUUAUUGUUUUUGGCUGAAGUACAUUUACUCUCAAAUUUCUACAACUUAUUGCCCUCUUGUACCAUUUUCUCAUUUCUUUUACAAUUACUAUUAAGGCUAAAUAAGUCAUUGGAAUAUAAAUACACAUUUUGUUCUCAAGUACUUUUCCCUGCUCUAUCCCAGGAAGGUAGUUAGACCAUCAUUCAAAUCAUUUACAGAAAUUAUCAACAGUGUACACUAAGAAAAUGAGCUUAGGCUUCUGUGUUUAUCAGUAUGACAUUACAGAUACUCCAGAUAUCAUAUCUAUUAAAAAUAAAUAAAAUUUAUGAAAAAUAAAUAUUAAUCAAUGUAAAUUCCUCCCUGAUCUGGUAAGAAACUAAGAAAUAGGGUCUUUCAUCAUCUAUAAAGCUGGGGAGAGCCUGGUGGGCUGAGGACAUCAGAAUGAAGAGGAAUUUUUCACUCAAAUGGCUAACCUUAUAAUCAGCUCUUUGUUCUGCUUCUGUAGAUAUGCUUGUCGCAUAGGUGGAAGGGCAGGGUGAUCUCGAAAUUAACUAAAGACUCAUCCUCCCUUUUGCUUGUUUUGUCUAGAUAACAGAUGUAUUGUCUGAGUUCCUGUCUGAAAAUCUCAGGCUUUGUAACUCUUUGUAACUGCCUGUAACCUAUAGCAACUCUCACGCUUUGUAACUCUUUGUAACUGUCUGAGGACAAAUUAACCAAUCGACCCAUGCCAACUGGCUAAAUGUAACUGCACGGAUAAGCCCUAUAAAAGCAAAGUUGCAUCUGAGCUUGGGGUCUGGAUCUUCAGAGUGCUAGCUGUUCUAGGACACCUGGUGUAAUAAACUUGAGUUCUCCAACUCUCUGAGUGGUGCUUGGCUUCUUGCCAGUAUGAUUUUACAACAUUUAUGCAACAUUUCUGGAAGCCCUAGUGAGAUUUCAACCACACCGGCCCUUUGAACCACCAGACUGGUGGCUUGGCCAGGCCGGGGAGAAGGGGCUCCAAGUCCAAAGAGGAGGCACGUCACCUGAUGGUAUUCCAGAUUCUCUUUCAGACCCGCACUCUGACUCUUCGAUGGCUGAGACCCGACUGGACUCAAAGGAGGGAUGGACCAACUCACCAGGAAUGGACACAGGAUAAAGCAACUGCUGACUCCCGGUGACCCUGAGCUUCCACUUUGGUUCUAUCAUAGGAACAGUGGGCCAAAGACUAAUCCUAGUUCCUACAAGACAGGAAUUGAAGAGAAGACACUACAUGAAGCCGGGCUCCAGAGGGCUGUGUCUUCAGUGCAAGGGUGAGCUGGACAUAAAGGCACAUUACAGAGAUCUGCCUAUCUUGAUGUACAGAAAGAACAACAAAGAAAUCCAUCUUGAUGAUGUGAACAAAAGAACUGACACUCGGAAAGGUUUAUAGCACAAGUGCUAAAGGCGAUAUCACUAAUGACCUGUUAUUAUUAGCUGUUACUUAUUAAAAAUCCAUUAUCUUGCCAAAAUAAAGGGACCUAUGUCAAGACUGCAGAGAA
Long non-coding RNA from Pteropus alecto (black flying fox), 4343 nucleotides. RefSeq lists it as uncharacterized. The transcript has 2 exons. NCBI's taxonomy places the organism in Eukaryota, Metazoa, Chordata, Mammalia, Chiroptera, Pteropodidae. The record is from RefSeq and is a predicted model, not a curated record.